GGUCAAUGAUGCGAUGUAAAAGGUCUGAUGUCCAAGUCACCUUACAGUCCCUCCAACCCUCCCAGCAGCCCCUGCAAAUGUUUCCCAGCAUGCUCUAGUUGUGCAUUGCUGGUUUGAGGUGGCAGCUGAUAUUAUUGCCGAUUCUGCUGAAUACGGGUCUUUUAGAGAUUUAAGUGAGACCCGAAACAGCUGCGUCCAACAUCAGCACAACACACGGGAGGGCGGACUUAAGGAGAGUGGUCGACUGAUCUCAAAAAUCAUACUGAGACC
Molecule: non-coding RNA, 270 nt
Organism: Xyrauchen texanus (razorback sucker)
Lineage: Eukaryota; Metazoa; Chordata; Actinopteri; Cypriniformes; Catostomidae
Product: small Cajal body-specific RNA 6
Exons: 1
Source: RefSeq, a predicted model, not a curated record